Molecule: ribosomal RNA, 242 nt
Filed under: uncultured soil bacterium
Lineage: Bacteria
Description: partial 16S ribosomal RNA
Rfam family: Bacterial small subunit ribosomal RNA
Source: RNAcentral
AGAAUCAACGCUGGCGGCGCGCUUAACACAUGCAAGUCGAACGAGAAAGGGGAGCAAUCCCUGAGUAAAGUGGCGUACUGGUGAGUAACACGUGGAUAUCUACCUCUUGGUGGGAAUAACCUGGGGAAACCUGGGCUAAUACCGCAUAAGUUCGUGAGAAGAAAGGCGCAAGCCGCCGAGAGAGGAUCCGCGGUCGAUUAGGUAGUUGGCGGGGUAAGAGCCCACCAAGCCAAAGAUCGAUA